RNAcentral lists this long non-coding RNA (887 nucleotides) under Scleropages formosus (Asian bonytongue). RNAcentral describes it as "lncRNA (ENSSFOG00015032665.1)". Lineage: Eukaryota; Metazoa; Chordata; Actinopteri; Osteoglossiformes; Osteoglossidae. The record is from RNAcentral.
CUCAUCGGCUCGCGAGGUUAGAGGCUGUCGUGCGGAAUGCGUUCGCUCGCGCAAAACAAGCAGCGCUCCGCUGUUUCCAGUAACGACACCCAAAACCCAAAGUUGUUCUGUCCCAACAAUCCUUCACCUCCCAGCGCAGAAGCGACACUAAUGUUUUUUCGGGGGUGUUUCCGCCGAGAGGCUGCGGAGGGGGGUCGUGCGACGGGUGGGAGACGAUGGAGUCGCGCAAAGAACGACGGCCAAAUGCUUCACAGUUGCUCUGCCACCUCCAGCUGCCUCUGCUGGCCUGCGAUCAGAAAGCUGUGAGAAGGCAAGACCCAUCGGCAUCUCCCAACUGGAUCACCUGUCCCCGUCCCUCAAACGUCUGACCCGAAUGACCCAAAGCGCAAGGUUUGGAAGGACGAGCUUCUGGGGACAUCAUCUGAUCGAGCUCCCGACCCACCGAGGCCGACUCUCCGUGCGUGGGCACGUGGCCAGUCCACCCCGCGUCCCUGUGAAAGUCCUCCAGCUUACCUCCUGGGCGAAGGGCCAGAGCUCCAUCCCGCUCACACGAGAAACCGCGGAGGGUCGGUGCGCUUGCUGCAGCUCAGUCCAACCGCAGAGGACCAGCACCGAGACACAAUCACGUGGACGGAGCGCCGUGACCCCCCUGGGAAAGCUCUUCGGCUUUCUCCAUCAAUUUGGAAAGCACAACGUCAACAGCGGCGCUCCCAGACUGGAGACUACAUCUCAGUGUGAGCGUGGGCUGACCGCAGCGGCUCCUGUGCACCAGACCCCGGGUCCAGCAGAAGGCCAGGACUGUGACGUCGGAGCUUCCCCUCCCCGCGCCGCCGCUGCCGCCGCCGGCUAUCUGCGACCCCGCUAAUGACGGCUUCCCUCCGCCCCCG